CAGUCGCCACGGUAAUACGUAGGUCCCGAGCGUUGUCCGGAUUUAUUGGGCGUAAAGCGAGCGCAGGCGGUUAGAUAAGUCUGAAGUUAAAGGCUGUGGCUUAACCAUAGUACGCUUUGGAAACUGUUUAACUUGAGUGCAGAAGGGGAGAGUGGAAUUCCAUGUGUAGCGGUGAAAUGCGUAGAUAUAUGGAGGAACACCGGUGGCGAAAGCGGCUCUCUGGUCUGUAACUGACGCUGAGGCUCGAAAGCGUGGGGAGCGAACAGGAUUAGAUACCCCGGUAGUCCCUGUCUCUUAUACA
Molecule: ribosomal RNA, 301 nt
Filed under: uncultured bacterium
Lineage: Bacteria
Description: partial 16S ribosomal RNA
Rfam family: Bacterial small subunit ribosomal RNA
Source: RNAcentral